UAAGGAAACUAGGUGACUGCUACUUACUAUAAGUAGAGGAAAGUCCGAGCACCAUCGAGCAAAGUGCUGGGUAACACCCAGGCAAGGUAACUUGAUAGAAAGUGCCACAGAAAUAUACCGCCUGCAGUAGUAGGUAAGGGUGAAAACGCGAGGUAAGAGCUCACGGUUCCUGCGGUGACGUUAGGAAUUAGGUAAACCUCACUUGGUGCAAGACCGAAUAGGGAAACAUAGCUGCUCGAGUAGUUUCCGGGUUGGUCGCAUGAGUAUAAUGGUAACAUUAUACCUAGAUAGAUGGUCACCACCUUAACACCAAAGGUACAGAACUCGGCUUAUAAGUUCCCUUAAUCC
Molecule: RNase P RNA, 348 nt
Filed under: Chloroflexota bacterium
Lineage: Bacteria; Bacillati; Chloroflexota
Also listed under: 2 other names
Description: RNase P RNA component class A
Rfam family: Bacterial RNase P class A
About the family: Ribonuclease P (RNase P) is a ubiquitous endoribonuclease, found in archaea, bacteria and eukarya as well as chloroplasts and mitochondria. Its best characterised activity is the generation of mature 5'-ends of tRNAs by cleaving the 5'-leader elements of precursor-tRNAs.
Source: RNAcentral